CUGCACCACUUAAGGAAGAAAGGUUCAGAUUGUGAGACAAAGGAUAUAUGUACCAUAUCACUGCUCCUCUAUCAAGCAUCAGUUCUCAUUAUGAUUCCCAUGGACAUGUGGUUGUCCAUUACACAGAUGUUGAUACAAAUGUUCAGCUCCUUUUUAGGUACCGUUGCUCAUGUUGCAGCCCGAGGUUGUAGCUACACAGGAACACAAAUUCAGAUAUAA
RNAcentral lists this unclassified non-coding RNA (219 nucleotides) under Zea mays. RNAcentral describes it as "misc RNA Zm00001eb133220". Lineage: Eukaryota; Viridiplantae; Streptophyta; Magnoliopsida; Poales; Poaceae. The record is from RNAcentral.